CACAGGAAGGUCACACCAUCCCCCACCAUCAUCAGAGUGGAAACCUGAGAGAUCCUAAAGUUGAGGUGAAAAAAGAAGAGGAAACUUAUGUGAGUGAUGAUCAGGAGGAUGGAAUAUUGAGGCUAAUUCUAGAGGACGGCACUUCCACAGAGAUCAGCACAGUAGAUGGACGGGAGAUGAGGAAAACCUCAGAGGAUUGUCU
Rana temporaria (common frog) is the source of this 202-nucleotide long non-coding RNA. RefSeq lists it as uncharacterized. Lineage: Eukaryota; Metazoa; Chordata; Amphibia; Anura; Ranidae. The record is from RefSeq and is a predicted model, not a curated record. The transcript is spliced from 3 exons.